AUUGAACGCUGGCGGCAUGCCUUACACAUGCAAGUCGAACGGCAGCACGGGGGCAACCCUGGUGGCGAGUGGCGAACGGGUGAGUAAUGCAUCGGAACGUGCCCAGUAGUGGGGGAUAACUAGUCGAAAGAUUAGCUAAUACCGCAUACGACCUAUGGGUGAAAGCGGGGGAUUCGCAAGAACCUCGCGCUAUCGGAGCGGCCGAUGUCUGAUUAGCUAGUUGGCGGGGUAAAGCCCACCAAGGCUUCGAUCAGUAGCUGGUCUGAGAGGACGACCAGCCACACUGGGA
RNAcentral lists this ribosomal RNA (289 nucleotides) under uncultured bacterium. Its description in RNAcentral is "partial 16S ribosomal RNA". It matches the Rfam family "Bacterial small subunit ribosomal RNA", at positions 30 to 318 of the family's 1533-position model. The record is from RNAcentral.